Molecule: ribosomal RNA, 468 nt
Filed under: uncultured bacterium
Lineage: Bacteria
Description: partial 16S ribosomal RNA
Rfam family: Bacterial small subunit ribosomal RNA
Source: RNAcentral
GACGAACGCUGGCGGCGUGCUUAACACAUGCAAGUCGAACGGAAAGGCCCUGCUUUUGUGGGGUGCUCGAGUGGCGAACGGGUGAGUAACACGUGAGUAACCUGCCCUUGACUUUGGGAUAACUUCAGGAAACUGGGGCUAAUACCGGAUAGGAGCUCCUGCUGCAUGGUGGGGGUUGGAAAGUUUCGGCGGUUGGGGAUGGACUCGCGGCUGAUCAGCUUGUUGGUGGGGUAGUGGCUUACCCAGGCUUUGACGGGUAGCCGGCCUGAGAGGGUGACCGGCCACAAUGGGACUGAGAGACGGACCAGACGCCUACGGGAGGCAGCAGUGGGGAAUAUGGCACAAUGGGCGGAAGCCUGAUGCAGAAACGCCGCGUGCGGGAUGACGGCUUGCGGGGUGUAAACCGCUUUAGCCUGUGACGAAGCGUGAGUGACGGUAAUGGGUAAAGAAGCACCGGCUAACUACGUG